This 123-nucleotide ribosomal RNA is filed under the name Pteropus alecto (black flying fox). Lineage: Eukaryota; Metazoa; Chordata; Mammalia; Chiroptera; Pteropodidae. The record is from RNAcentral.
GUCUAUGGCCAUACCACCCAGAACAAACUUGAGCCCAUCUGAUCUCAGAAGCUAAGCAGGGUCGGGCCUGGUUAGUACUUGGAUGGAUGGAAGACCACCUAGGAAGACCAGGUGAUGUAGGCU